GUCCGUCCCCGGGAUAUAAGCUAACUUUGUACCUCUGUUAAACUGAUGGGCCGUGAAAAGGUAGCAGACAGACAGACACACUUUCGCAUUUAUAAUAUUAGUAUGAAUUAGGCAGUUGCCACUGCCUAAUUCAUUCAUGGCCGGUCUACUACCGAGCACGAGUCUUCUCAGAACGAAAAUAGUUUGGCCUUAUGGCCACCACACUGGCUAAGUGUGGAUUGGUCGACUUCAGACACCUUUGAGAACAUUAUGAACUCUAAGGCAUGGAGUUUUCCUCAUGACAUCUUCCCCCAUCAUCUAGUGUGACAUAAAUGUAGUUAAACAGUAAAUAAAAGCUGUAUUCCAUUACACAUAGAUUUAUUACACUUAUUAAAAUCUAAGGGUACGUAAAAAAUGGCAGAUUGUCUUACCGACAGUGAUGAUUGGCAAAAUACGUUAGGUACUUUAAAAUUAUGCACUAUAAUACUAGGACUAAAGAGACUAAGGUGGCUUCACACUUACAGACUAUAUUAUUAUUAUGUGACUGAAAUAUUUAUCUAUUAUUACAUUUAAGUGCUGUAAAGUGCAAGUUGUAUGACAGUUUUUAUCUGUAAGUGUGAUACUACCUUAAUGUUGAACAGGUUUCAGUAGAUAAUUCGCAUAUAUCUAGACUUAUGUGGUUAGUAACAACACCCGAAACAUUUUAAGUAUGUCACUGGCUUAAACAACUACGAACUUGAAAUUAUCUAUUGAAAUCUGUCCACUGAAUACUAUUUACUAGUAAUUGAAGCAAUAUUUUUUAAACCCCCUAAACGAAACUAUGAACUAAAGUGGAAUUAGUUUAAGCAGUAAAGUAGUAUUUUUUUUUUUUAAAUCAAAUCUAAUUAAUUUGAUUUUACGACAAUACAAAAGGAAUUUAUAGUGCAUACAUUUUGAGAACGCUCACGCCAUAUUUGCUCUGUGUCAACUCACAAUUGUCAAUACUUUUUAACCAUACUUUUGACAUGACUGUGGACACAUUCAGCAAAUAUGGCAAAAAAUAUGUGCUUUCUAAAAAUGUAUGCAUUACUAGCUGAUGCCCGCGACUUUGUUCGCGUGGAUGUAGGUUUUUAAAAAUCCCGAGGGAGCUCUUUAAUUUUCUGGGAUAAAGAGUAGCCAUGUGCAAAUCCAGGGUUUAAUCUAUCUCAGCUAUAAAUUUCAGCCCAAUCCAUUCAGUAGUUUUUGCGUGAAGGAGUAACAAACAUACACACAAAUUUUCCCCUUUAUAAUAUUAGUGUAAUAGUGUGAAGUGUGAUGUGAUAGUGUGAUUAGUGUGAUACACAGUUUCAUUUAGGGAGGUCCUAAAGAAUAACCCUGCUUGUCAGUGCACUGUCAAUGAGAUCAUACUAUAUUUUUUAUUCAAUAAAGUGUAAGAAAAUA
Long non-coding RNA from Maniola jurtina (meadow brown), 1398 nucleotides. RefSeq lists it as uncharacterized. The transcript is spliced from 2 exons. The record is from RefSeq and is a predicted model, not a curated record. NCBI's taxonomy places the organism in Eukaryota, Metazoa, Arthropoda, Insecta, Lepidoptera, Nymphalidae.